RNAcentral lists this ribosomal RNA (325 nucleotides) under uncultured eukaryote. RNAcentral describes it as "partial 18S ribosomal RNA". It matches the Rfam family "Eukaryotic small subunit ribosomal RNA", at positions 1470 to 1796 of the family's 1831-position model. The record is from RNAcentral.
CCCUUAGAUGUUCUGGGCCGCACGCGCGCUACACUGAUGCAUUCAACGAGUCUAAAACCUGCUCUGAUAGGGGUGGGUAAUCUUUUGAAUGUACAUCGUGAUUGGGAUAGAUGAUUGCAAUUUUUCAUCUUCAACGAGGAAUGCCUAGUAAACGCAAGUCAUCAGCUUGCAUUGAUUACGUCCCUGCCCUUUGUACACACCGCCCGUCGCACCUACCGAUUGAAUGUUUCGGUGAAGAUUCCGGAUAGGACUGAUUUGAUUUAUUUCAUUUCUGACCUAAAAGCCAUCUAAACCUCAACAUUUAGAGGAAGGUGAAGUCGUAACA